GCAUUCUGUGUGGGUUGGAUCUAUUAAAAUAAAUAUCUCUAUAUUUAUACUUAAAUAUUCGUCAUCUGAAAGUCUCCAUUUUUUGCUUUCUCUUGUUUUGCAUGUACACAUACAUACAUCUUUUGUAUCU
This is a long non-coding RNA of Octopus sinensis (East Asian common octopus), 130 nucleotides long. RefSeq lists it as uncharacterized. Lineage: Eukaryota; Metazoa; Mollusca; Cephalopoda; Octopoda; Octopodidae. The transcript has 3 exons. The record is from RefSeq and is a predicted model, not a curated record.